GACGAACGCUGGCGGCGUGCUUAACACAUGCAAGUCGAACGGAAAGGCCCCUUCGGGGGUCCUCGAGUGGCGAACAGGUGAGUAACACGUGAGUAACCUGCCCUUGACUUCGGGAUAACUUCAGGAAACUGGGGCUAAUACCGGAUAGGAAUCCUUGCUGCAUGGUGGGGGUUGGAAAGCUUCGGCGGUUUUGGAUGGACUCGCGGCUUAUCAGCUUGUUGGUGGGGUAGUGGCUUACCAAGGCGUUGACGGGUAGCCGGCCUGAGAGGGCGACCGGCCACAUUGGGACUGAGAUACGGCCGAGAUUCCUACGGGAGGCAGAAGUGGGGAAUAUUGAACAAUGGGCGGAAGCCUGAUGCAGCAACGCCGCGGGCGGGAUGACGGCCUUAGGGUUGUAAACCGCUUUCAGCAGGAGCGAAGCUUGUGGUGACGGUACCUGCAGAAGAAGCACCGGCUAACUACGUG
RNAcentral lists this ribosomal RNA (465 nucleotides) under uncultured bacterium. Its description in RNAcentral is "partial 16S ribosomal RNA". It matches the Rfam family "Bacterial small subunit ribosomal RNA", at positions 28 to 507 of the family's 1533-position model. The record is from RNAcentral.